UGGAUCGAUGAUGACUUCCUUAUAUACAUUCCUUGGAAAGCUGAACAAAAUGAGUGAAAACUCUAUACCGUCAUCCUCGUCGAACUGAGGUCCAGCACAUUGCUCUUACAGGGGCUAGAGAGAGAGGGACAAAUUUCAUUUGAUGAUGCCCAUUGCACCAAGGGGUUCUGUCCAGGCUUAGGAUGGGGUCUCGUUUGGGCAAAGGAGAAUGGCAGGGGAGUGGAGGCUAUGUACACAGGAGAUUCCUUGUUUGAAGGACUCUAUUUGUGAGGCCAGGGUACCACACAUGCUGUCCGCAGGAGUAGGUGAAUGUGCAGUUGCCCAGGAAGAGUUAGCCUGUAGCCUGCCUCUGCAUGGCAGUUUGUCCUUGGGUCCUGGCUCUGGAUUUCCAUGUUCCUUGGAGGAGGAUAGGUGAUUUUGCUUGAGAAGACAGCACAGUACCAUACUUUUGUUGUUUUUCUGCUCAUUUCAUCGUCCAUUGAGGACAAUGAAGUUGUGGUCAGCAGGCAUAGCUUUCAGGCCAGCGUGCCCAUGUUGUGUCCCAUGCAUUGUGAGCACAUGCAUGUGGCAUGAACACAUAGGCUGCCACUCCAAGCUGAGUCUGAUAGGCAAUGAGACUCUGGCUUAUCCUGAUCCCGGUGUAGAUCAAAGUCUUCCCAGUAGGAUUGCAUGGCCCCGAGGCUAUUGUGAGCUGCAUUGCAGGUGUGGAAGCAAGGGUGUUGAGAGGGAUGCUCAACAUUAGUGCUCUUUAGCGAGAUGAUGCACUAUAAGGGCACCCUGAACCCAGACGUGCAUCCCUAUGUACGUGCAUUUCUGUGUCCAUAAAUAGUUGAAGCCAGACAGCCAGAUUCCAGAUGUAUCGCAGGGGGCUGGAUGACAUGGCCCUUGUCACCUGUGUACCUGUCUGCCUUUCUGAAGCACGCUUGUGUUUCCUCUACACCUCCCAGGUAGCAUUGGCAUGGAAGGCAGGCCCAUGUUGGUGAGGGACAAUUGUUAUCUUGUGUGAGCCGCAGGGAUACCAGGAAACCCCUGGACACAAAUGGCAAAGGCUUCUUUGGAAGUUGUUGGAUCCCUUCUGCAUGUAAGCAGUUCUUUCCCAGAGCGCUCUGAUUUUCCUCAUUUGCAGGGACAAACACUGUGCGUGGAUCGAUGAUGACUUCCAUAUAUACAUUCCUUGGAAAGCUGAACAAAAUGAGUGAAAACUCUAUACCGUCAUCCUCGUCGAACUGAGGUCCA
This 1236-nucleotide small nucleolar RNA is filed under the name Homo sapiens (human). RNAcentral's name for it is "sno-lncRNA3". The stretch from base 1144 to 1235 matches the Rfam family "Small nucleolar RNA SNORD116". The record is from RNAcentral. Lineage: Eukaryota; Metazoa; Chordata; Mammalia; Primates; Hominidae.